This 633-nucleotide ribosomal RNA is filed under the name Xiphinema brevicolle. RNAcentral describes it as "SSU rRNA". It matches the Rfam family "Eukaryotic small subunit ribosomal RNA", at positions 1003 to 1658 of the family's 1831-position model. Lineage: Eukaryota; Metazoa; Nematoda; Enoplea; Dorylaimida; Longidoridae. The record is from RNAcentral.
GGCGAUCAGAUACCGCCCUAGUUCUAACCGUAAACGAUGACAACCAGCGAUUAGUCGGUGUUAAUAUACGACCCGACUAGCAGCUUCCGGGAAACCAAAGUUUUUCGUUUCCGGGGGAAGUAUGGUUGCAAAGCUGAAACUUAAAGGAAUUGACGGAAGGGCACCACCAGGAGUGGAGCCUGCGGCUUAAUUUGACUCAACACGGGAAAACUCACCCGGCCCGGACACCGUAAGGAUUGACAGACUGAGAGCUCUUUCUUAAUUCGGUGGGUGGUGGUGCAUGGCCGUUCUUAGUUGGUGGAGCGAUUUGUCUGGUUAAUUCCGAUAACGAACGAGACUCUGGCCUAUUAAAUAGUCGGUAUAUCCGGAAAAGUUUACCGUACUUCUUAGAGGGACAAACGGCGUCUAGCCGCGUGAAAUAGAGCAAUAACAGGUCUGUGAUGCCCUUAGAUGUCCGGGGCUGCACGCGCGCUACACUGAAAGAAUCAGUAUGCGCUUUAACCUAGUCCGGAAGGAUUGGGUAACCCGAGCAAAUUCUUUCGUGCUUGGGAUAGGGAAUUGCAAUUAUUUCCCUUAAACGAGGAAUUCCCAGUAAAUGCGGGUCAUAAGCUCGCGUUGAUUACGUCCCUGCCC